This 400-nucleotide unclassified non-coding RNA is filed under the name soil metagenome. RNAcentral describes it as "partial contains 5.8S ribosomal RNA, internal transcribed spacer 2, and large subunit ribosomal RNA". The stretch from base 1 to 122 matches the Rfam family "5.8S ribosomal RNA", at positions 35 to 154 of the family's 154-position model. The record is from RNAcentral.
GAUGAAGAACGCAGCGAAAUGCGAUACUUGGUGUGAAUUGCAGAAUCCCGUGAACCAUCGAGUCUUUGAACGCAAGUUGCGCCUCAAGCCAUUAGGUUGAGGGCACGUCUGCCUGGGCGUCACAUAUCGUUGCCUGAUGCCAGUUUCCUCGUGAUGGGUGACUGUGCAGGGCGAAUGAUGGCUUCCCGUGAGCAUUGUUGCCUCAUGGUUGGUUGAAAAUUGAGUCCUUGGUAGGGAGCGCCGUGAUAGAUGGUGGUUUAGUGACGAACGAGACCCAAUCAUGUGAGACCCCUACCGAAUUUGGCCUUCAUGACCCACAUGCGUCUUUGGAACGCUCAUGACGAGACCUCAGGUCAGGCGGGGCUACCCGCUGAGUUUAAGCAUAUCAAUAAGCGGAGGA